Molecule: ribosomal RNA, 354 nt
Filed under: uncultured bacterium
Lineage: Bacteria
Description: bacterial SSU rRNA
Rfam family: Bacterial small subunit ribosomal RNA
Source: RNAcentral
GAUGAACGCUAGCGGGAGGCCUAACACAUGCAAGCCGAGCGGUAGAGAUUCUUCGGAAUCUUGAGAGCGGCGUACGGGUGCGGAACACGUGUGCAACCUACCUUUAUCUGGAGGAUAGCCUUUCGAAAGGAAGAUUAAUACUCCAUAAUAUAUUGAUUGGCAUCAAUUGAUAUUGAAAGCUCCGGCGGAUAGAGAUGGGCACGCGCAAGAUUAGUUAGUUGGUGAGGUAACGGCUCACCAAGACGAUGAUCUUUAGGGGCCUGAGAGGUGAUCCCCGACACUGGUACUGAGACACGGACCAGACUCCUACGGGAGGCAGCAGUGAGGAAUAUUGGGUCAAUGGGUGCAAGCCUG